UAAACUGAAGAGUUUGAUCAUGGCUCAGAUUGAACGCUGGCGGCAGGCUUAACACAUGCAAGUCGAGCGGGGGAGGUUACUUCGGUAACUGACCUAGCGGCGGACGGGUGAGUAAUGCUUAGGAAUCUGCCUAUUAGUGGGGGACAACAUUCCGAAAGGAAUGCUAAUACCGCAUACGUCCUACGGGGGAAAGCAGGGGAUCUUCGGACCUUGCGCUAAUAGAUGAGCCUAAGUCGGAUUAGCUAGUUGGUGGGGUAAAGG
This 261-nucleotide ribosomal RNA is filed under the name Acinetobacter schindleri. RNAcentral's name for it is "partial 16S ribosomal RNA". It matches the Rfam family "Bacterial small subunit ribosomal RNA", at positions 1 to 263 of the family's 1533-position model. Lineage: Bacteria; Pseudomonadati; Pseudomonadota; Gammaproteobacteria; Moraxellales; Moraxellaceae. The record is from RNAcentral.